UACGUAGGGUGCGAGCGUUAAUCGGAUUUACUGGGCGUAAAGCGUGCGCAGGCGGCCCGUUAAGACAGGUGUGAAAUCCCUGGGCUCAACCUAGGAAUUGCGCUUGUGACUGGCGGGCUCGAGUACGGUAGAGGAGGGUGGAAUUCCUGGUGUAGCAGUGAAAUGCGUAGAGAUCAGGAGGAACACCGAUGGCGAAGGCAGCCCCCUGGGCCUGUACUGACGCUCAUGCACGAAAGCGUGGGGAGCAAACAGG
RNAcentral lists this ribosomal RNA (253 nucleotides) under uncultured microorganism. RNAcentral describes it as "partial 16S ribosomal RNA". It matches the Rfam family "Bacterial small subunit ribosomal RNA", at positions 524 to 776 of the family's 1533-position model. The record is from RNAcentral.